RNAcentral lists this long non-coding RNA (474 nucleotides) under Sorghum bicolor (sorghum). RNAcentral describes it as "long non-coding RNA (SBIC_LNC004151)". The record is from RNAcentral. Lineage: Eukaryota; Viridiplantae; Streptophyta; Magnoliopsida; Poales; Poaceae.
AGGUACGUAUUAGUAUCUAACAAAGCACAACGUAAGUCUAUUGAGAGAAGAAAAUCGCUCGCUUCAAAACGUUAUUUUUAUAAGAAUUAACUGCCGCCUGGUCUGCCAUAAUCUGCGUUUUCAUCGCAAAGCACCUGAAGGUUGUGUUGGCUUGCGAAACUGUGGAAAAGAAUUCACUUGUGCCAAAGAUAGCACAACCACUUAGGAUACGUCGACACCAUGAAAACUCUAGUUUUUUAUGAGAACAGGAGGGAUUUGCACCUCCUACAGUAUUUAUUACCAAACGAAGCAUAAGUUUAGUACAGUACAAAACAUUUACUCAAAAAGAAGGGGGGAGGGGGGGCGGGCAGAGGUAAAUUAAUUAGGAAACAAAAAAGGAAACAAAAAAAAAGUAGAAGGGCAAUUGCCCACAGCCGAACUAAGCAAGGUUUGUGGACCAUUGGUCAAUACUUCCAUUGUCAUUUUCAACUAUAC